Molecule: transfer RNA, 72 nt
Filed under: Bos taurus (domestic cattle)
Lineage: Eukaryota; Metazoa; Chordata; Mammalia; Artiodactyla; Bovidae
Also listed under: 2 other names
Rfam family: tRNA
About the family: Transfer RNA (tRNA) molecules are approximately 80 nucleotides in length. Their secondary structure includes four short double-helical elements and three loops (D, anti-codon, and T loops).
Source: Rfam by way of RNAcentral
UCCCUGAUAGCUCAGUUGGUAAAGAAUCCGCCUGCAAUGCAGGAGACCCUGGUUUGAUUCCUGGGUAGGGAA